Molecule: transfer RNA, 70 nt
Filed under: mouse gut metagenome
Also listed under: 1 other name
Rfam family: tRNA
About the family: Transfer RNA (tRNA) molecules are approximately 80 nucleotides in length.
Source: RNAcentral
UGAAAUAGCUCAGUCGGUAGAGCAACGCACUCGUAAUGCGUAGGUCGCAGGUUCGAUUCCUGUUUUCAGC